Non-coding RNA from Cinara cedri, 235 nucleotides. The record is from the annotation of a GenBank genome assembly. NCBI's taxonomy places the organism in Eukaryota, Metazoa, Arthropoda, Insecta, Hemiptera, Aphididae.
CUUCUUCCGAAUCGUCUCCGUCAUGGUGCUGGAGGGUCCGCGGACAACGUGAAUGGCAAACGAUCCGGCUGGUGGUCGGCUGCUGCUGCUGCUGCUGUUGCUGCUGCUGCUGCUGCUGUUGCUGCUGCUGCUGCUGCUGUUGCUGCUGCUGCUGCUGUUGCUGCUGCUGCUGCUGCUGUUGCUGCUGCUGCUGUUGCUGCUGCUGCUGCGACCGGGGAACUCUCGUAAUGCACAA